MicroRNA precursor from Mustela putorius furo (domestic ferret), 84 nucleotides. NCBI's taxonomy places the organism in Eukaryota, Metazoa, Chordata, Mammalia, Carnivora, Mustelidae. The record is from Ensembl.
UUGGUACUUGGAGAGUGGUUAUCCCUGUCCUGUUCGUUUUACUCAUGUCGAAUCGUACAGGGUCAUCCACUUUUUCAGUAUCAA